Molecule: ribosomal RNA, 614 nt
Filed under: uncultured bacterium
Lineage: Bacteria
Description: bacterial SSU rRNA
Rfam family: Bacterial small subunit ribosomal RNA (bases 1-519)
Source: RNAcentral
CCUACGGGAGGCAGCAGUGGGGAAUCUUGCGCAAUGGGCGAAAGCCUGACGCAGCCAUGCCGCGUGAAUGAUGAAGGUCUUAGGAUUGUAAAAUUCUUUCACCGGGGACGAUAAUGACGGUACCCGGAGAAGAAGCCCCGGCUAACUUCGUGCCAGCAGCCGCGGUAAUACGAAGGGGGCUAGCGUUGCUCGGAAUUACUGGGCGUAAAGGGAGCGUAGGCGGAUAGUUUAGUCAGAGGUGAAAGCCCAGGGCUCAACCUUGGAAUUGCCUUUGAUACUGGCUAUCUUGAGUAUGGGAGAGGUAUGCGGAACUCCGAGUGUAGAGGUGAAAUUCGUAGAUAUUCGGAAGAACACCAGUGGCGAAGGCGGCAUACUGGCCCAUUACUGACGCUGAGGCUCGAAAGCGUGGGGAGCAAACAGGAUUAGAUACCCUGGUAGUCCACGCUGUAAACGAUGAGUGCUAGUUGUCGGCAUGCAUGCACGUCGGUGACGCAGCUACGACAUAAGUACGACUCCGCCGUCGGGAGGUACGGUCGGCGAAGAAGUUAAACGUAACGUUAAAGAAGUUAGUUACGGCGUGAGACGNGCCGACGGACGACGACGAGGGGAGGAGG